This 207-nucleotide ribosomal RNA is filed under the name uncultured bacterium. RNAcentral describes it as "partial 16S ribosomal RNA". It matches the Rfam family "Bacterial small subunit ribosomal RNA", at positions 568 to 774 of the family's 1533-position model. The record is from RNAcentral.
CGCGUAGGUGGUUCGGUAAGUUGCUGGUGAAAUCCCGGGGCUCAACCCCGGGGCUGCCGGCACGACUGCCGGACUCGAGCACGGUAGGGGCAGAUGGAAUUCCCGGUGUAGCGGUGGAAUGCGUAGAGAUCGGGAAGAACACCAGUGGCGAAGGCGUUCUGCUGGGCCGUUGCUGACACUGAGGCGCGAAAGCGUGGGGAGCAAACG